UACGGGGGGGGCAAGCGUUGUUCGGAAUUACUGGGCGUAAAGGGCUCGUAGGUGGCCAACUAAGUCAGACGUGAAAUCCCUCGGCUUAACCGGGGAACUGCGUCUGAUACUGGAUGGCUUGAGUUUGGGAGAGGGACGCGGAAUUCCAGGUGUAGCGGUGAAAUGCGUAGAUAUCUGGAGGAACACCGGUGGCGAAGGCGGCAUCCUGGACCAACACUGACGCUGAGGAGCGAAAGCCAGGGGAGCAAACAGG
RNAcentral lists this ribosomal RNA (253 nucleotides) under uncultured bacterium. Its description in RNAcentral is "partial 16S ribosomal RNA". It matches the Rfam family "Bacterial small subunit ribosomal RNA", at positions 524 to 776 of the family's 1533-position model. The record is from RNAcentral.